RNAcentral lists this ribosomal RNA (327 nucleotides) under Triticum aestivum (bread wheat). RNAcentral's name for it is "partial small subunit ribosomal RNA". The record is from RNAcentral. Lineage: Eukaryota; Viridiplantae; Streptophyta; Magnoliopsida; Poales; Poaceae.
AUGCUCGCUCACACACCACAGUCCUACCUCUGCUCCGCCUCGAAGUCUCCCGGGAUUAACCAUGCUCGUCCUCUGAAUCGUAGCAUCUACGGUCCUGUCCAUGAUGUGCGCAUCCCCUACCAGCAGAACCACAUGUUUGGGUUCGUCACCUUCGUCUACAAGGAGAAGGGCAAGGUCCCCGGCAAGUUCAGGAAGCAGAAGGGCGAGACGGUGGACUUCUCUACCUGCGGGUCUCCCAACUAUUGUAUCUACUUGAUUGUCUUCUGUUAUCCAGAUCGAAAUUGUCCUAAGAAUGAGGCAACACUCGGAGGUGGCACCUACACAUGA